UACAGAGGGGGCAAGCGUUGUUCGGAAUUACUGGGCGUAAAGGGCGCGUAGGCGGCCCGCUAAGUCGAACGUGAAAUCCCCGAGCUCAACUCGGGAACUGCGUCCGAUACUGGUGGGCUUGAAUCCGGGAGAGGGAUGCGGAAUUCCAGGUGUAGCGGUGAAAUGCGUAGAGAUCGUAAGGAAGGCCAGUGGCGAAGGCGAGUUCCUGGACAGUUACUGACGCUGAGGCACGAAGGCCAGGGGAGCAAACGGG
RNAcentral lists this ribosomal RNA (253 nucleotides) under uncultured bacterium. RNAcentral describes it as "partial 16S ribosomal RNA". It matches the Rfam family "Bacterial small subunit ribosomal RNA", at positions 524 to 776 of the family's 1533-position model. The record is from RNAcentral.